RNAcentral lists this long non-coding RNA (748 nucleotides) under Homo sapiens (human). RNAcentral's name for it is "non-protein coding LINC01986:5". The record is from RNAcentral. Lineage: Eukaryota; Metazoa; Chordata; Mammalia; Primates; Hominidae.
AUGACUUCAUUGUUGGAUGCUGCAAUCUUGAAGAUCAGACAGAAAACCAGCCUAUGAAUCAAAGAAGAAAAUCAAAAUCAGACUUCAUAACUGCUUCAGUAACCCUUGGCAACAGACAACACACUGGAUUUUGGCGAAUAACACUAAAAUUUUUGCUGGUGAGGUCUUCAGAAACUGGAUAGAUGUGAAACCACCAGAACAGAAGUGGAGCGGGCAUGGUAUCUGUUUCUUCAAUUUGUAGUUUUAUAGUCAAAAACUGGCAUGUAUAUACUUAAUUGGUAACAUGUAAGUCACGUGCCUCUAUCCCAACUCUAAGAGAGGUUGAGAACUUAAUUUCUGGCUUCUACCUUGGGAAGGAUCAGGCUUAUAAGCUGGAAAAUUAGCCAACAUACACAGGAUAUUCAAAGCUUCUAGGCAGUCAAAAUACUGUCAAGUGGUAAAACAGACAUGAAAAAACCUUUUUUUCUCUCCUAAAUUUAAAAAAAUAUAAUUUUUGUAAAACACUGUAUGUGGCUUUCCAUAAAAUUAAAAGAGUCUUGGGAGAGAGAACAUCUCAUAUGCUUCCUAGUGAAUUACUUCCACACUAAAGCAAUUAAUGAAAAUGAAAAUACCGUGUAUAAUAUUUUUAAAGCAGCCUUUUCACUGAUAAAUAUGUUUUAGGUAUAUAUACAGCUAUGGAAAAGUUUUCCUCAUAACAAUUCCAUUUUAUCUCAGGUAUAAUCGGUCAGGAGAAAUUAUUUCUUGUUGC